Molecule: ribosomal RNA, 441 nt
Filed under: uncultured Gammaproteobacteria bacterium
Lineage: Bacteria; Pseudomonadati; Pseudomonadota; Gammaproteobacteria
Description: bacterial SSU rRNA
Rfam family: Bacterial small subunit ribosomal RNA
Source: RNAcentral
AUGCAAGUCGAGCGCGAAGCACUUCGGUGUGAGUAGAGCGGCGGACGGGUGAGUAACGCGUAGGAAUCUACCUAGUAGUGGGGGACAACUCGGGGAAACUCGAGCUAAUACCGCAUAAGCCCUACGGGGGAAAGCGGGGGACCUUCGGGCCUCGUGCUAUUAGAUGAGCCUGCGUUGGAUUAGCUAGUUGGUGGGGUAAAGGCCUACCAAGGCGACGAUCCAUAGCUGGUCUGAGAGGAUGAUCAGCCACACCGGGACUGAGACACGGCCCGGACUCCUACGGGAGGCAGCAGUGGGGAAUAUUGCGCAAUGGGCGAAAGCCUGACGCAGCCAUGCCGCGUGUGUGAAGAAGGCCUUCGGGUUGUAAAGCACUUUCAAUUGGGAGGAAAGGUUCACGGUUAAUAACCGUGAGCUGUGACGUUACCUUAGAAGAAGCACCGG